CGUAUUCAAUCUAACCUCAUGGACGUGAAAUGANCUCGUGGAAANUGAUGAAUAAUGUCCGAUANAANACUAUACCUGCUAAUGGUUUGUGUUCCAAGAUGAUUUAUCCCCGUAGGAUGGGACUGCGGCCUAUCAGUGUGUUGGUGAGGUAAUGGCCCACCAANACUAUUACAGGUACGGGCUCUGAAANGAGUANCCCGGANAUGGGUACUGANACACGGACCCNGGCCCUAUGGGGCGCNNCAGGCGACAAAACUUUGCAAUGUGCGAAAGCACNACAAGGUUAAUCCNAGCGAUUUGUGCUAAACGAAUCUUUUGUUAUUCUUAUAACCACUAACGAAUAAGGGGUGGGCAACUUCUGGUGUCNGCCGCCGCGGUAAAACCAACACCUCAAGUGGUCAGGAUGAUUAUUGGGCCUAAAGCAUCCGUAGCCGGCUCUGUAAGUUGUCGGUUAAAUCUGUACGCUCAACGUACAGGCUGCCGGGAAUACUGCAGAGCUAUGGANUGGGAGAAGUAUACAGUACUCNGAAGGANNGNGUAAAAUCCUUUGAUCUNUUGAUGACCACCUGUGGCGAAGGCGGUCUACCAAAACACGUCCGACGGUGAAGGAU
Molecule: ribosomal RNA, 611 nt
Filed under: uncultured archaeon
Lineage: Archaea
Description: partial 16S ribosomal RNA
Rfam family: Archaeal small subunit ribosomal RNA
Source: RNAcentral